Molecule: transfer RNA, 72 nt
Filed under: Endocarpon pusillum
Lineage: Eukaryota; Fungi; Ascomycota; Eurotiomycetes; Verrucariales; Verrucariaceae
Also listed under: 1 other name
Description: tRNA-Ile (TAT) (tRNA-Ile-TAT-2-1)
Rfam family: tRNA
About the family: Transfer RNA (tRNA) molecules are approximately 80 nucleotides in length. Their secondary structure includes four short double-helical elements and three loops (D, anti-codon, and T loops).
Source: RNAcentral
GCGCAAUUGGUCUAGCGGCAUGAUUCUCGCUGUAUGUGCGAGAGGCCCCAGGUUCGAAUCCUGGAUUGCGCC